RNAcentral lists this ribosomal RNA (460 nucleotides) under uncultured bacterium. Its description in RNAcentral is "partial 16S ribosomal RNA". It matches the Rfam family "Bacterial small subunit ribosomal RNA", at positions 338 to 795 of the family's 1533-position model. The record is from RNAcentral.
CCUACGGGGGGCAGCAGUGAGGAAUAUUGGUCAAUGGCCGUAAGGCUGAACCAGCCAAGUCGCGUGAAGGAAGAAGGAUCUAUGGUUUGUAAACUUCUUUUAUAGGGGAAUAAAGGUAUCCACGUGUGGAUAUUUGCAUGUACCCUAUGAAUCAGCAUCGGCUAACUCCGUGCCAGCAGCCGCGGUACUACGGAGGAUGCGAGCGUUAUCCGGAUUUAUUGGGUUUAACGGGAGCGUAGGUUGUUUUUUAAGUCAGCGGUGAAAGUUUGUGGCUCAACCAUAAAAUUGCCGUUGAAACUGGAAGACUUGAGUGUGUUUGAGGUAGGCGGAAUGCGAGGUGUAGCGGUGAAAUGCAUAGAUAUCACGCAGAACUCCGAUUGCGAAGGCAGCUUACUAAGCCAUAACUGACACUGAGGCACGAAAGCGUGGGGAGCAAACAGGAUUAGAUACCCUAGUAGUC